GACGAACGCUGGCGGCGUGCCUAAUACAUGCAAGUCGAGCGGGGAUUAUGCUUGAUCGCUUCGGUGAGACGGCAUAUAUCCUAGCGGCGGACGGGUGAGUAACGCGUGGGUAAUCUACCUCGUAGUUCGGGAUAACAGGCCGAAAGGCUUGCUAAUACCGGAUGAGUUCAUGCUUAUGCAUAUAGGCAUGAAGAAAGGGCUAGCCCGCUAUGAGAUGAGCCCGCGUCCCAUUAGCUUGUUGGUGGGGUAAUGGCCUACCAAGGCAACGAUGGGUAGCCGGCCUGAGAGGGUGUACGGCCACACUGGGACUGAGACACGGCCCAGACUCCUACGGGGGGCAGCAGUAGGGAAUUUUCGGCAAUGGGCGAAAGCCUGACCGAGCGACGCCGCGUGAGGGACGAAGGCCUCGGUUGUAACCGUACUCGUCGUGGGGUGUGGUAGGAACGGAACGGGUACCCCGGGACCGGGGAACGGACCCCGGGACCGUAACCCGUAACCGUAGGCCGACGCCGACGACCCGGCCGGGUAAAACGUACCGAACGUACGUAACGUUACG
RNAcentral lists this ribosomal RNA (556 nucleotides) under uncultured bacterium. RNAcentral's name for it is "bacterial SSU rRNA". It matches the Rfam family "Bacterial small subunit ribosomal RNA", at positions 33 to 541 of the family's 1533-position model. The record is from RNAcentral.